This 521-nucleotide ribosomal RNA is filed under the name uncultured bacterium. RNAcentral describes it as "partial 16S ribosomal RNA". It matches the Rfam family "Bacterial small subunit ribosomal RNA", at positions 28 to 523 of the family's 1533-position model. The record is from RNAcentral.
GACGAACGCUGGCGGCGUGCCUAAUACAUGCAAGUCGAACGCUUCUUACUUAUCGAACUUCGGUUCACCAAGUAAGAGGAGUGGCGAACGGGUGAGUAACACGUGGGUAACCUGCCCAUCAGAGGGGGAUAACACUUGGAAACAGGUGCUAAUACCGCAUAAUUCAGUUUACCGCCUGGUAGAGUGAUGAAAGGCGCUUUUGCGUCACUGAUGGAUGGACCCGCGGUGCAUUAGCGAGUUGGUAGGGUAAUGGCCUACCAAGGCAACGAUGCAUAGCCGACCUGAGAGGGUGAUCGGCCACACUGGGACUGAGACACGGCCCAGACUCCUACGGGAGGCAGCAGUAGGGAAUCUUCGGCAAUGGACGAAAGUCUGACCGAGCAACGCCGCGUGAGUGAAGAAGGUUUUCGGAUCGUAAAACUCUGUUGUUAGAGAAGAACAAGGAUGAGAGUAAAAUGUUCAUCCCUUGACGGUAUCUAACCAGAAAGCCACGGCUAACUACGUGCCAGCCGCCGCAGUAA